RNAcentral lists this ribosomal RNA (464 nucleotides) under uncultured Klebsiella sp. Its description in RNAcentral is "bacterial SSU rRNA". It matches the Rfam family "Bacterial small subunit ribosomal RNA", at positions 338 to 795 of the family's 1533-position model. The record is from RNAcentral. Lineage: Bacteria; Pseudomonadati; Pseudomonadota; Gammaproteobacteria; Enterobacterales; Enterobacteriaceae.
CCUACGGGAGGCUGCAGUGGGGAAUAUUGCACAAUGGGCGCAAGCCUGAUGCAGCCAUGCCGCGUGUGUGAAGAAGGCCUUCGGGUUGUAAAGCACUUUCAGCGGGGAGGAAGGCGGUGAGGUUAAUAACCUCAUCGAUUGACGUUACCCGCAGAAGAAGCACCGGCUAACUCCGUGCCAGCAGCCGCGGUAAUACGGAGGGUGCAAGCGUUAAUCGGAAUUACUGGGCGUAAAGCGCACGCAGGCGGUCUGUCAAGUCGGAUGUGAAAUCCCCGGGCUCAACCUGGGAACUGCAUUCGAAACUGGCAGGCUAGAGUCUUGUAGAGGGGGGUAGAAUUCCAGGUGUAGCGGUGAAAUGCGUAGAGAUCUGGAGGAAUACCGGUGGCGAAGGCGGCCCCCUGACAAAGACUGACGCUCAGGUGCGAAAGCGUGGGGAGCAAACAGGAUUAGAUACCCGAGUAGUC